Molecule: ribosomal RNA, 253 nt
Filed under: uncultured bacterium
Lineage: Bacteria
Description: partial 16S ribosomal RNA
Rfam family: Bacterial small subunit ribosomal RNA
Source: RNAcentral
CACGUAGGCAGCGAGCGUUGUUCGGAGUUACUGGGCGUAAAGGGUGCGUAGGCGGUUGUUUAAGGUUGGUGUGAAAUCUCCCGGCUCAACUGGGAGGGUGCGCCGAAUACUGAAUGACUAGAGUGCGGGAGAGGAUAGUGGAAUUCCUGGUGUAGCGGUGAGAUGCGUAGAUAUCAGGAGGAACACCGGUGGUGUAGACGGCUAUCUGGACCGUAACUGACGCUGAGGCACGAAAGCGUGGGUAGCAAACAGG